UACGUAGGGGGCUAGCGUUGUCCGGAUUUAUUGGGCGUAAAGAGCGUGUAGGCGGCCAUGUAGGUCUGCUGUGAAAACUCGAGGCUCAACCUCGAGACGGCGGCGGAAACCAUCUGGCUAGAGUCCGGAAGAGGAGAGUGGAAUUCCUGGUGUAGCGGUGAAAUGCGCAGAUAUCAGGAAGAACACCCGUGGCGAAGGCGGCUCUCUGGGACGGUACUGACGCUCGGACGCGAAAGCGUGGGGAGCGAACAGG
This 253-nucleotide ribosomal RNA is filed under the name uncultured bacterium. Its description in RNAcentral is "partial 16S ribosomal RNA". It matches the Rfam family "Bacterial small subunit ribosomal RNA", at positions 524 to 776 of the family's 1533-position model. The record is from RNAcentral.